GUGAAGUCACAAAACAGGGACCUCACACUACUACACAAUACAAGUGUUUAAGACAAAAUAUUAAUGUUUAAAUAUUAGUUUCCCUGACAGGACUCAAUUUGUGUAGAUCAGGUUUUCCAGAGGACGACACCCUUGAUCAAGUUGAUGUUGUUGAUGGCAAUCUGCGCACUUACUUCACCUUGGAUAGAACGAUUUCGAAUUUUCUGCAGCUUUUCUAUUAAAUCAAGUGUUUUUGAAAAUGUCACUGAUUCGUUUAAUGUCUAUCGCUCUGUGCACAGAUCAUGACAGACCCAGAUGCCCCUAGUCCCAGGGACCCUGUUGGAUGUGAGUAUCUAUACAUUGGUAUAUUGCAAUGCUUUUCACAUGUCUUCUCAUUCCGGGUUCAUUCAAGAAAUUAACCCUAUUCAGCCGACCCGGUGACAUUUAGUUAGAGAUAGCAUUUAAUAAUCUGCCUGGAGGAGUUACAGAGUGCAAAAUUCCGAAUGACCAGUCGCAUAGAUUAAUUUGGCAUUCACAACUGUUUGUGGAAGAACGCUUGCAAAAGUAAAAGUGUUGGAUUGACAGCCUACUCCCUCACUGUGCAUUUUAUAAUACACGUUCAAGGCCGCCUCAAAAAACCAAUGCUUGGUAUAAGCUGAAAUCAUGGUGUUCCACGAAGCCACAUCUCGUUGGGGAGUUGCAUGAGAAAAUUGCAGAGCCUCAUCAAGGCUUCCAUUCUGUACAUAUCCCGCAAUCAUUGAAUUCCAUGAGACCGCGUCUUUUUGAGAUGGCACCUUAACUACUAUUCAGACAUUGAUUUCUACUAGCUUAUGUGGAAUUGUGCAUUCCUCGAUUGUUGGACAACCCCUGUUGAUUCUUGGAGUUGGAGAAUCCACAACUCUUAUGUUAUCAGUUUUGGGAGAGGUUUCUUACAUUAUUCAUUGCACCAUCACGGAGAAUUAAAAAAUACAGGAGCGUAAUAUUGAUGUUCUAGAUAUAUUGGAAGGCAUGAACGAGUAUAUCGAUGAUGCUGAAAUGUUGGAUGAAAUGACUACUAGGAGCCGUUGUUAAUUGAAACAUUGGCCUCUAUGAUUUUGAUUUGUUUGGAAUUUUUUUUCAGGCUUUCUUUAUUGAAUAAUAUGCAAUAAAUUACUUCCAAGAUUGGAAAGAGUUGGUUUUAGGAUCCACUCUAAGUGUUUGAUGAAAUUUAGUUAGCAAGAGGGCAGUUUGAAUUUGCGGAUUGAUGACUUACACCUGAUUUGCAUUGAACAUGUUCACAAGGGUCACAUGUUCUCAACCAUUACUCAGACUUAAAACUCACUACUAAACCAAAGGGUGUUUGAGACCCAAGAUUCUGAAGGGUAAAACUAUUCUUUAAAGGGUGCUAGCUUAAUGGAAGAGCACCUGCUUUACAAGCAGGAGGAUGGUGGUUCAAUUCCAUCAUGCCCUAACAUGAAUUAAUCAAUGAUAUUGUAGUUUACAUUUAAAAAUAUUGAUUUAUCUGAAUAGUGAGCUUUUUUUAAAAAUAUAUUGUUUUAUAUCAUCUCUAGAGAGACAAAAGUGGUAUUCUCUCUAAUGAGAAUAUUUGUAUCAUCUUAAGAAAGACAAUAAGUGGCAUUAAAGACAUAUUUGUCUCUAUAGAGACAAUAUUUUUUUAUUAUCGGUAUAGAGACAAAAAUACAAUUGUCACUCGAGACAAUA
Long non-coding RNA from Cryptomeria japonica (Japanese cedar), 1680 nucleotides. RefSeq lists it as uncharacterized. The record is from RefSeq and is a predicted model, not a curated record. The transcript is spliced from 5 exons. NCBI's taxonomy places the organism in Eukaryota, Viridiplantae, Streptophyta, Pinopsida, Cupressales, Cupressaceae.